Molecule: ribosomal RNA, 1436 nt
Filed under: uncultured organism
Description: SSU rRNA
Rfam family: Bacterial small subunit ribosomal RNA
Source: RNAcentral
GAUGAACGCUAGCUACAGGCUUAACACAUGCAAGUCGAGGGGCAGCAUUUCAGUUUGCUUGCAAACUGGAGAUGGCGACCGGCGCACGGGUGAGUAACACGUAUCCAACCUGCCGAUAACUCGGGGAUAGCCUUUCGAAAGAAAGAUUAAUACCCGAUGGUAUAAUCAGACCGCAUGGUCUUGUUAUUAAAGAAUUUCGGUUAUCGAUGGGGAUGCGUUCCAUUAGGCAGUUGGUGAGGUAACGGCUCACCAAACCUUCGAUGGAUAGGGGUUCUGAGAGGAAGGUCCCCCACAUUGGAACUGAGACACGGUCCAAACUCCUACGGGAGGCAGCAGUGAGGAAUAUUGGUCAAUGGGCGCAGGCCUGAACCAGCCAAGUAGCGUGAAGGAUGACUGCCCUAUGGGUUGUAAACUUCUUUUAUAUGGGAAUAAAGUUUUCCACGUGUGGAAUUUUGUAUGUACCAUAUGAAUAAGGAUCGGCUAACUCCGUGCCAGCAGCCGCGGUAAUACGGAGGAUCCGAGCGUUAUCCGGAUUUAUUGGGUUUAAAGGGAGCGUAGGUGGACAGUUAAGUCAGUUGUGAAAGUUUGCGGCUCAACCGUAAAAUUGCAGUUGAUACUGGCUGUCUUGAGUACAGUAGAGGUGGGCGGAAUUCGUGGUGUAGCGGUGAAAUGCUUAGAUAUCACGAAGAACUCCGAUUGCGAAGGCAGCUCACUGGACUGCAACUGACACUGAUGCUCGAAAGUGUGGGUAUCAAACAGGAUUAGAUACCCUGGUAGUCCACACAGUAAACGAUGAAUACUCGCUGUUUGCGAUAUACAGUAAGCGGCCAAGCGAAAGCAUUAAGUAUUCCACCUGGGGAGUACGCCGGCAACGGUGAAACUCAAAGGAAUUGACGGGGGCCCGCACAAGCGGAGGAACAUGUGGUUUAAUUCGAUGAUACGCGAGGAACCUUACCCGGGCUUAAAUUGCAUUUGAAUAUAUUGGAAACAGUAUAGCCGUAAGGCAAAUGUGAAGGUGCUGCAUGGUUGUCGUCAGCUCGUGCCGUGAGGUGUCGGCUUAAGUGCCAUAAGGAGCGCAACCCUUAUCUUUAGUUACUAACAGGUCAUGCUGAGGACUCUAGAGAGACUGCCGUCGUAAGAUGUGAGGAAGGUGGGGAUGACGUCAAAUCAGCACGGCCCUUACGUCCGGGGCUACACACGUGUUACAAUGGGGGGUACAGAAGGCAGCUACCUGGUGACAGGAUGCUAAUCCCAAAAGCCUCUCUCAGUUCGGAUCGAAGUCUGCAACCCGACUUCGUGAAGCUGGAUUCGCUAGUAAUCGCGCAUCAGCCAUGGCGCGGUGAAUACGUUCCCGGGCCUUGUACACACCGCCCGUCAAGCCAUGAAAGCCGGGGGUACAUGAAGUACGUAACCGCAAGGAGCGUCCUAGGGUAAAA